CUUUUCAACGGCCCUUUAAUUCCCUAUAUUCAUUAUGCCGGUUCGCCGGCUAUGGCGAUAAACGCUGUACGGAAUAAGCGUUACGGACCCGGGGGCAGUACCCGGCGCCUCCACCAAUAAUUCCGCCGGCAGGCGGGCCUUUAAGGGGGCGAAACAGGAUCGACGUGCGUGGUAAAGGUGCGGUUUUUGCUCGGCAUGGCGCCACCGUUAUCGGGCCAAACCUAGAAAUGCCAACGAUAAUGAGGCAUUUGCCGCAGCCGCUUAAUUGCGAACUGUGACGGGGCACGGGGGGCGCCUGGCAACAGAAGCCCCCCAC
RNAcentral lists this transfer-messenger RNA (316 nucleotides) under marine eukaryotic metagenome. RNAcentral describes it as "Alphaproteobacteria transfer-messenger RNA". It matches the Rfam family "Alphaproteobacteria transfer-messenger RNA". From Rfam's summary of the family: Bacterial tmRNA, also known as 10Sa RNA or SsrA, is named for its dual tRNA and mRNA-like properties. The record is from RNAcentral.